UACGUAGGGCGCAAGCGUUAUCCGGAAUUAUUGGGCGUAAAGAGCUAGUAGGCGGUUUGUCGCGUCUGCCGUGAAAGUCCGGGGCUCAACUCCGGAUCUGCGGUGGGUACGGGCAGACUAGAGUGAUGUAGGGGAGACUGGAAUUCCUGGUGUAGCGGUGAAAUGCGCAGAUAUCAGGAGGAACACCGAUGGCGAAGGCGGGUCUCUGGGCCGAUACUGACGCUGAGGAGCGAAAGCGUGGGGAGCGAACAGG
This 253-nucleotide ribosomal RNA is filed under the name uncultured bacterium. RNAcentral describes it as "partial 16S ribosomal RNA". It matches the Rfam family "Bacterial small subunit ribosomal RNA", at positions 524 to 776 of the family's 1533-position model. The record is from RNAcentral.